AUUGAACGCUGGCGGCAUGCCUUACACAUGCAAGUCGAACGGCAGCACGGGUGCUUGCACCUGGUGGCGAGUGGCGAACGGGUGAGUAAUACAUCGGAACGUACCUUAUCGUGGGGGAUAACGCAGCGAAAGCUGUGCUAAUACCGCAUACGCCCUGAGGGGGAAAGCGGGGGAUCGCAAGACCUCGCGCGAUUAGAGCGGCCGAUGCCUGAUUAGCUUGUUGGUGGGGUAAAAGCCCACCAAGGCGACGAUCAGUAGCUGGUCUGAGAGGAUGAUCAGCCACACUGGGACUGAAACACGGCCCAGACUCCUAAGGGAGGCAGGAGUGGGGAAUUUUGGACAAUGGGGGCAAGCCUGAGCCAGCAAUGCCGCGUGAGUGAAGAAGGCCUUCGGGUUGUAAAGCUCUUUUGUCAGGGAAGAAACACCGGCUCUAACACAGUCCGGGAAUGACGGUACCUGAAGAAUAAGCACCGGCUAACUACGUGCCAGCAGCCGCCGCAG
Molecule: ribosomal RNA, 501 nt
Filed under: uncultured bacterium
Lineage: Bacteria
Description: partial 16S ribosomal RNA
Rfam family: Bacterial small subunit ribosomal RNA
Source: RNAcentral